UACGGAAGGCAGCAGUGGGGAAUAUUGCACAAUGGGCGAAAGCCUGAUGCAGCUAUGCCGCGUGUAUGAAGAAGGCCUUAGGGUUGUAAAGUACUUUCAUCGGGGAGGAAAAAACAAAACUAAUAAUUUUAUUUCUUGACGUUACCCGAAAAAGAAGCACCGGCUAACUCCGUGCCAGCAGCCGCGGUAAUACGGAGGGUGCUAGUGUUAAUCAGAAUUACUGGGCGUAAAGAGCACGUAGGUGGUUUUUUUAAAGUCAGAUGUGAAAUCCCUGGGCUUAACCUAGGAACUGCAUUUUGAAACUGAAAUACUAGAGUAUCGUAGAGGGAGGUAGAAUUCUAGGUGUAGCGGUGAAAUGCGUAGAUAUCUGGAGGAAUACCUGUGGCGAAAGCGGCCUCCUAAACGAAUACUGACACUGAGGUGCGAAAGCGUGGGGAGCAAACAGGAUUAGAUACC
Molecule: ribosomal RNA, 456 nt
Filed under: uncultured bacterium
Lineage: Bacteria
Description: bacterial SSU rRNA
Rfam family: Bacterial small subunit ribosomal RNA
Source: RNAcentral